UGAUACGUAGGGUGCGAGCGUUGUCCGGAAUUAUUGGGCGUAAAGAGCUCGUAGGCGGUCUGUCGCGUCGGAAGUGAAAACUCGGGGCUUAACCCCGAGCCUGCUUUCGAUACGGGCAGACUUGAGGAAUGUAGGGGAGAACGGAAUUCCUGGUGGAGCGGUGGAAUGCGCAGAUAUCAGGAGGAACACCAGUGGCGAAGGCGGUUCUCUGGACAUUAACUGACGCUGAGGAGCGAAAGCGUGGGGAGCAAACAGG
Molecule: ribosomal RNA, 256 nt
Filed under: uncultured bacterium
Lineage: Bacteria
Description: partial 16S ribosomal RNA
Rfam family: Bacterial small subunit ribosomal RNA
Source: RNAcentral